GACGAACGCUGGCGGCGUGCUUAACACAUGCAAGUCGUACGGUAAGGCCCUUUCGGGGGUACACGAGUGGCGAACGGGUGAGUAACACGUGAGUAACCUGCCCACAACUUUGGGAUAACGCUAGGAAACUGGUGCUAAUACUGGAUAUGUGCUCCUGCUGCAUGGUGGGGGUUGGAAAGCUCCGGCGGUUGUGGAUGGACUCGCGGCCUAUCAGCUUGUUGGUGGGGUAGUGGCCUACCAAGGCGGCGACGGGUAGCCGGCCUGAGAGGGUGACCGGCCACAUUGGGACUGAGAUACGGCCCAGACUCCUACGGGAGGCAGCGGUGGGGAAUAUUGCACAAUGGGCGCAAGCCUGAUGCAGCAACGCCGCGUGCGGGAUGACGGCCUUCGGGUUGUAAACCGCUUUCAGCAGGGACGAAGCUUUUUGUGACGGUACCUGCAGAAGAAGCACCGGCUAACUACGCG
This 465-nucleotide ribosomal RNA is filed under the name uncultured bacterium. RNAcentral describes it as "partial 16S ribosomal RNA". It matches the Rfam family "Bacterial small subunit ribosomal RNA", at positions 28 to 507 of the family's 1533-position model. The record is from RNAcentral.